AUGCACGCUAGCUACAGGCUUCACACAUGCCAGUCGCGGGGCAGCAUGGGGGUUGCUUGCAAUCCCCGAUGGCGACCGGCGCACGGGUGAGUAACGCGUAUCCAACCUGCCCUUCACCACGGGAUAACCCGGCGAAAGUCGGACUAAUACCGUAUGUUGUCCAUUGACGGCAUCCGAUUUGGACGAAAGGUUUGGCGGUGAAGGAUGGGGAUGCGUCCGAUUAGCUGGACGGCGGGGUGACGGCCCACCGUGGCGACGAUCGGUAGGGGUUCUGAGAGGAAGGUCCCCCACACUGGAACUGAGACACGGUCCAGACUCCUACGGGAGGCAGCAGUGAGGAAUAUUGGUCAAUGGGCGUAAGCCUGAACCAGCCAAGUAGCGUGCAGGAUGACGGCCCUAUGGGUUGUAAACUGCUUUUAUGCGGGGAUAAAGUGGCCCACGUGUGGGUUUUUGCAGGUACCGCAUGAAUAAGGACCGGCUAAUUCCGUG
This 489-nucleotide ribosomal RNA is filed under the name uncultured bacterium. RNAcentral describes it as "partial 16S ribosomal RNA". It matches the Rfam family "Bacterial small subunit ribosomal RNA", at positions 29 to 507 of the family's 1533-position model. The record is from RNAcentral.